This 430-nucleotide ribosomal RNA is filed under the name Bacillota bacterium. RNAcentral describes it as "Firmicutes bacterium partial 16S ribosomal RNA". It matches the Rfam family "Bacterial small subunit ribosomal RNA", at positions 355 to 776 of the family's 1533-position model. Lineage: Bacteria; Bacillati; Bacillota. The record is from RNAcentral.
UGGGGAAUAUUGGACAAUGGGCGAAAGCCUGAUCCAGCCAUGCCGCGUGUGUGAAGAAGGCCUUUUGGUUGUAAAGCACUUUAAGCGAGGAGGAGGCUACUUAGAUUAAUACUCUAGGAUAAUGGACGUUACUCGCAGAAUAAGCACCGGCUAACUCUGUGCCAGCAGCCGCGGUAAUACAGAGGGUGCGAGCGUUAAUCGGAUUUACUGGGCGUAAAGCGUGCGUAGGCGGCUUCUUAAGUCGGAUGUGAAAUCCCUGAGCUUAACUUAGGAAUUGCAUUCGAUACUGGGAAGCUAGAGUAUGGGAGAGGAUGGUAGAAUUCCAGGUGUAGCGGUGAAAUGCGUAGAGAUCUGGAGGAAUACCGAUGGCGAAGGCAGCCAUCUGGCCUAAUACUGACGCUGAGGUACGAAAGCAUGGGGAGCAAACAGG